GGGCCGCUAACUCAGACGGUAGAGUACCAGCCUUUUAAGCUGGGAGUCGCAGGUUCGAGUCCUGCGCGGCCCA
Molecule: transfer RNA, 73 nt
Organism: Caldimicrobium thiodismutans
Lineage: Bacteria; Pseudomonadati; Thermodesulfobacteriota; Thermodesulfobacteria; Thermodesulfobacteriales; Thermodesulfobacteriaceae
Rfam family: tRNA
About the family: Transfer RNA (tRNA) molecules are approximately 80 nucleotides in length.
Source: Rfam